RNAcentral lists this ribosomal RNA (497 nucleotides) under uncultured bacterium. RNAcentral describes it as "partial 16S ribosomal RNA". It matches the Rfam family "Bacterial small subunit ribosomal RNA", at positions 28 to 507 of the family's 1533-position model. The record is from RNAcentral.
GAUGAACGCUGGCGGCGUGCCUAAUACAUGCAAGUCGAGCGAACGGACGAGAAGCUUGCUUCUCUGAUGUUAGCGGCGGACGGGUGAGUAACACGUGGAUAACCUACCUAUAAGACUGGGAUAACUUCGGGAAACCGGAGCUAAUACCGGAUAUUAUUUUGAACCGCAUGGUUCAAAAGUGAAAGACGGUCUUGCUGUCACUUAUAGAUGGAUCCGCGCUGCAUUAGCUAGUUGGUAAGGUAACGGCUUACCAAGGCAACGAUGCAUAGCCGACCUGAGAGGGUGAUCGGCCACACUGGAACUGAGACACGGUCCAGACUCCUACGGGAGGCAGCAGUAGGGAAUCUUCCGCAAUGGGCGAAAGCCUGACGGAGCAACGCCGCGUGAGUGAUGAAGGUCUUCGGAUCGUAAAACUCUGUUAUUAGGGAAGAACAUAUGUGUAAGUAACUGUGCACAUCUUGACGGUACCUAAUCAGAAAGCAACGGCUAACUACGUG